UUUUUGAUAGCUUAAUUGUAAGAGUGUGGCCCUGAAGAGGCUAAGGUGAAAAUAUUCUCAAGCAA
RNAcentral lists this transfer RNA (65 nucleotides) under Eurylepta cornuta. RNAcentral describes it as "tRNA-Phe". The record is from RNAcentral. Lineage: Eukaryota; Metazoa; Platyhelminthes; Polycladida; Euryleptidae.